This 31-nucleotide non-coding RNA is filed under the name Mus musculus (house mouse). Lineage: Eukaryota; Metazoa; Chordata; Mammalia; Rodentia; Muridae. The record is from RNAcentral.
UGAAACUUCGAUUGGAGAGGCCCAGUCCUUU